This 27-nucleotide non-coding RNA is filed under the name Xenopus tropicalis (tropical clawed frog). Lineage: Eukaryota; Metazoa; Chordata; Amphibia; Anura; Pipidae. The record is from RNAcentral. RNAcentral also lists the same sequence under 8 other names.
GGCUAAGAUCAAGUGUAGUAUCUGUUC